This is a non-coding RNA of Prunus avium (sweet cherry), 2645 nucleotides long. The record is from RefSeq and is a predicted model, not a curated record. NCBI's taxonomy places the organism in Eukaryota, Viridiplantae, Streptophyta, Magnoliopsida, Rosales, Rosaceae.
AUUUAUGAAGAUUUUUGUUUUUGUGCUAAAUGCCAUUGUGCCUUAUUAGUUAUAAAAAGAACUCCAGAGAAUCCCAUGAGUAGGCCCUGAAUAAGAACUAUCAAAUUCUAAUUAUGAGCUAUAGAAAUCUAGUGGCUUAAAUAGUUGACACUACUUCCAACUGUUCUCAUGUAACAUAUGAUAAUUUGCCUUUGUGACUGUUGAUUCUUUCUGAAAAGGAGCUUAUACAGUUAAGCCUAACCCCCUAGUGUAAUGCGGGAUAUUUUACUCACGAAGAAAAAUUAUGGAGGCUACUUGAGGUGAAAUAAGGAGAAAAUUCAGAUUUUAGGCUCUUUGUGUGUGUGUGUUUGUGUGAGCUUUUUUUGUGUUGGUGGUGGAAAAAUAUGAGUUCUAAGCGCAUAUAGCAAGGAUAUGAUUAUUUUACUUGUUCUCCUUAUCCUCUCCCUCCCCCUAGUCUACUGCUCCAUUUACUCUUUUGUAGGACAUAAGCAUGCAUUCUUUUAUGUAAGUGUAUUUGUCUGAAGUGUCUUAGAUAUCAGCACAUGCUAAUUAUAUUUGUCUAAAGAAUGAAAACUCAUGAGGAGAAGUUAAAGCACCAGUUGGAUAACAUUCCUGUUUUUUGUUUUUAAUGUUUUGAGAUGAACGAGAAAAAGAUAAAAGGGAUGAAAGAGGUAAAUUUGGAGAGCAGAUGGAAUUACAACUAAACUUAAAAAUCAUUUACAGCUGUUUUUGUUUUAAUUGUAAAAACCAUAAUGUAUUUUAUUCAUUGCUCCUGCACCUCGCUCAUCUCUUUUCUUUUUUUUUGGGUAUUUGGUUUUAAUUGUAUAGGUCAUUUUUUUUAAUCAGUGAAUUGGUUAUUGAGCUAUCAAACAGUUGGAUUAGGCGCCAAGUUUAGUUGGUUCAGUAUGUAGUUGUACAAUUGGGCUGUAAUUGGUGUGAUUUGUAAGAUUGUUUUGGAAUUAAUUCAAUAGUACAUUCAUACAGAGUUUAGGGUUUGGUUUGAACGGGGUUCUAUCAAUUGGUAUCAGAGCCAGGUUUCACUUCGCAAUCCAAUUCCUAAAAAGGAACGACUAUAGGCUGGAUUUAAUUGCCAUUGAAUAAAAUAUAUACUUGUUAUUGACCGUGCAAAAGUCUCUUAGACUGUGCAAGGAUAUCUUGAGGGGAAUGCUCUGCUUUGUAACUCACAUGUGACCUUGUUUUCCUUACAAGUCUAAUACACUUAUUUUACGUUUGGGCCUUGAGUCCCUAGAGUUGGUGGGUUUGAGAGGCCACAAAAGGGUUCCAAAAGUACUAUAAUUGAAAGCUGUAUUGCUUUAUGUGUCUCUACCAUUUGUUGCUGCUGCUGAUAUACCUUGAAGUUUUCAUGUGCAGGAUGAGAUUAUUGAAGUUGCGUGAGGUAUGCUUAAUCGGCUAAUACUAGUUUUGAAUGGCAUUUGACUUAGGCUUCUACCAGGCAUUGUUGGAAAAUCCAGUUAGUUUUUGCAUUUGUUAACUUUUUUACUUCUCUUGUGUUUGCUCUGCCUAUCUUUUGUCUAGAGAUAGUUUUAAUAUCUCAGGAUUUUUCCUUUAACUGGCUAUGCAAUCUUAGGGUAUGGCUUUCUUGGGUUGUAGUACUCUGCUAUCCUAGCCUGGUCAUGAUGUUUCACUACUAGUGGUAGCUCUAUAGGAAAUCCAGGCCCAGUCAGAGCAGAGUGCCUGGUUUGCAUGCUCAAAGAGAUAGGGCUGGAGAACAUGGCAGGGGUUUGGCGUAAGCACAUAGACAAGGUAUGGCUCCAUUGGAUUGGUUCUGCAACAGUGAAACUACCCUUGUUGGGGCACUUUGCAGAUUGCUGAGCUCUGCUGUAUCCAUGCUUUGGAUGAAGGCAACAUUUGCUCCUGUGGUUUGGCUAAUCUUCGUCUUGGUAACAGUUUUUGUAUCCUCUGUCUUAGCUGCUACCUGGGGUUUUAGUGCCAUUUGUUUUCCCUUGACAAUCCAUUCUUCAUGAAACGUGUGUAGACGCACUGGCAUGUAGACAGGUGUUGCAUAGUUUUGGUGCAUCAAUAAAUGGGCAGUCACAUUCUUUCUAGUGGAUUUGCAAGGUGCAACUGACCUAAAUCUUCAUCAUGAACCGGAAAGCUAUCUCAAAUCAGAGUAGACAAUGAGAGGAUCCUUGUAAUUCUUUAAGAAAGUCGUCGCCAUAAUGACUUGGUCAUUGUAAGGAGUGCAGCUAUGCUGAAACAUGUCCCUUUCCGAAAAUUUAAAGCUGCACCAACAUUUUGGAGUCUUUUACUAGUCCCAAUCUCAAUCACUGUGCCCAUGUGGGUAAAAAGGGUUUCCUAUCUGGUGGUGGAUUCCCAGAGUGUAGACCCUAAUCCGAACACCUUUGAGAACACCUUUGAAUGUGCAGCCAUUAAGUUUUAUGGCCAGAGCAAUAAUGUAUAUGGAGGUUGUGUUAUGUAAGGGUGUGUGGAGGAUUUCGUUUUUCGAAGAUGAGAUUCUUUUUUCCGGAGGAUUUUGCAAUCUGAACUCCUUUGAAUAUGCAGCCUAUUCCAAAUCGUGUAAAUUUUUCUAAAGCUGCAAGUGUUAGGGCCAGAGCAAUAAUGUAAAAUGGAGGUUGUAACUUGUAUUUAUGCAAGGGUGUAUGUGAGGAUUUCUUUGUUUGAAA